UCGUAAAACUCUGUUGUUAGGGAAGAACAAGUGCCGUUCGAAUAGGGCGGCGCCUUGACGGUACCUAACCAGAAAGCCACGGCUAACUACGUGCCAGCAGCCGCGGUAAUACGUAGGUGGCAAGCGUUGUCCGGAAUUAUUGGGCGUAAAGCGCGCGCAGGUGGUUUCUUAAGUCUGAUGUGAAAGCCCACGGCUCAACCGUGGAGGGUCAUUGGAAACUGGGGAACUUGAGUGCAGAAGAGGAAAGUGGAAUUCCAAGUGUAGCGGUGAAAUGCGUAGAUAUUUGGAGGAACACCAGUGGCGAAGGCGACUUUCUGGUCUGUAACUGACACUGAGGCGCGAAAGCGUGGGGAGCAAACAGGAUUAGAUACCCUGGUAGUCCACGCCGUAAACGAUGAGUGCUAAGUGUUAGAGGGUUUCCGCCCUUUAGUGCUGCAGCUAACGCAUAAGCACUCCGCCUGGGAGACUCCGCC
This 473-nucleotide ribosomal RNA is filed under the name Bacillus sp. (in: firmicutes). RNAcentral's name for it is "bacterial SSU rRNA". It matches the Rfam family "Bacterial small subunit ribosomal RNA", at positions 423 to 887 of the family's 1533-position model. Lineage: Bacteria; Bacillati; Bacillota; Bacilli; Caryophanales; Bacillaceae. The record is from RNAcentral.